This 23-nucleotide microRNA is filed under the name Macacine gammaherpesvirus 4 (Rhesus lymphocryptovirus). RNAcentral describes it as "rlcv-miR-rL1-30-5p". Its record names the gene rlcv-miR-rL1-30-5p. Lineage: Duplodnaviria; Heunggongvirae; Peploviricota; Herviviricetes; Herpesvirales; Orthoherpesviridae. The record is from miRBase by way of RNAcentral.
ACCGGUCCUUUGAGGUACGAAAC